RNAcentral lists this ribosomal RNA (1000 nucleotides) under Pseudomonas aeruginosa. RNAcentral's name for it is "bacterial SSU rRNA". It matches the Rfam family "Bacterial small subunit ribosomal RNA", at positions 56 to 1051 of the family's 1533-position model. The record is from RNAcentral. Lineage: Bacteria; Pseudomonadati; Pseudomonadota; Gammaproteobacteria; Pseudomonadales; Pseudomonadaceae.
UGCAGUCGAGCGGAUGAAGGGAGCUUGCUCCUGGAUUCAGCGGCGGACGGGUGAGUAAUGCCUAGGAAUCUGCCUGGUAGUGGGGGAUAACGUCCGGAAACGGGCGCUAAUACCGCAUACGUCCUGAGGGAGAAAGUGGGGGAUCUUCGGACCUCACGCUAUCAGAUGAGCCUAGGUCGGAUUAGCUAGUUGGUGGGGUAAAGGCCUACCAAGGCGACGAUCCGUAACUGGUCUGAGAGGAUGAUCAGUCACACUGGAACUGAGACACGGUCCAGACUCCUACGGGAGGCAGCAGUGGGGAAUAUUGGACAAUGGGCGAAAGCCUGAUCCAGCCAUGCCGCGUGUGUGAAGAAGGUCUUCGGAUUGUAAAGCACUUUAAGUUGGGAGGAAGGGCAGUAAGUUAAUACCUUGCUGUUUUGACGUUACCAACAGAAUAAGCACCGGCUAACUUCGUGCCAGCAGCCGCGGUAAUACGAAGGGUGCAAGCGUUAAUCGGAAUUACUGGGCGUAAAGCGCGCGUAGGUGGUUCAGCAAGUUGGAUGUGAAAUCCCCGGGCUCAACCUGGGAACUGCAUCCAAAACUACUGAGCUAGAGUACGGUAGAGGGUGGUGGAAUUUCCUGUGUAGCGGUGAAAUGCGUAGAUAUAGGAAGGAACACCAGUGGCGAAGGCGACCACCUGGACUGAUACUGACACUGAGGUGCGAAAGCGUGGGGAGCAAACAGGAUUAGAUACCCUGGUAGUCCACGCCGUAAACGAUGUCGACUAGCCGUUGGGAUCCUUGAGAUCUUAGUGGCGCAGCUAACGCGAUAAGUCGACCGCCUGGGGGAGUACGGCCGCAAGGUUAAAACUCAAAUGAAUUGACGGGGGCCCGCACAAGCGGUGGAAGCAUGUGGUUUAAUUCGAAGCAACGCGAAGAACCUUACCUGGCCUUGACAUGCUGAGAACUUUCCAAAGAUGGAUUGGUGCCUUCGGGAACUCAGACCAGGUGCUGCAUGGCUG